GCACCCGCAGCAAAUGUCGAUGAUGCCGUGUGUCUCGUCUACGCUUUUGCUGCAGUGAUAUAAAUUCUUCGCACCUCACCAAAGUUCACAGCGAAACGAGACAAUGCGCUGUGGAGCGUUGGGAGAUGGGCUCCUUCUUUUAGCCUCUUUCCUGCGCGAUAGGGAAUUUUGUUGCGUACUAUCCGCGAACGAUGGGAAAAAAACACCAUUUCAUUUGGGCGUAUGUAUUGGUGACGACGUUGCAAAUGCUUUACAACACGGUGUGUAUUUGAUAGUGUUUCUUCCAGAUUUCUUAUCUUUCGUUGCGCUUCAGGGGCGAGCGUCGUGAUGGACGUUCUUCUAGAAUCGGACAGAAACCCCCUAGUGCAGCUGCUGUUACUACUACUACCCACAUAUAGCACCAAGCAUUAUGCUAGCACCCGUUUUCCUGCAAAAACUGCAUCAUACUCCGAAAUAAACAAUAACGACAAACGACGAGGAUGAUUGUUAUGCGAACUUUCCCUUCGAUUUGAAAGGCUGUUGGAAACGGAGGAUGGUUUCGGGAGAUUGUAUUUGUAGUGGGGCAGUUACUACACCAUCAAGUCAAAACCGAUCAUUGCCGCUAGCUGCUAUAGUUCAUCGCAUCGUAAUACUGAAAGACAGACACAUACACAUUAGACCUGUGGCCAAAGACUCGUUUCCAUUUCAUUUGAUUAUGGUUUUGUGCAAUGCAAAUGAGACGACAAACAGCCGUACAAUAAUCGUGCAGCUGCCUAACGAAACAAAACAAAGCUUUAAAAUAAAAUUAAGAUUACAAUAAUA
Long non-coding RNA from Anopheles funestus (African malaria mosquito), 801 nucleotides. RefSeq lists it as uncharacterized. The record is from RefSeq and is a predicted model, not a curated record. Lineage: Eukaryota; Metazoa; Arthropoda; Insecta; Diptera; Culicidae. The transcript is spliced from 2 exons.